This 336-nucleotide unclassified non-coding RNA is filed under the name Helianthus occidentalis subsp. plantagineus. RNAcentral's name for it is "partial trnH-psbA intergenic spacer". Lineage: Eukaryota; Viridiplantae; Streptophyta; Magnoliopsida; Asterales; Asteraceae. The record is from RNAcentral.
UCAUUUUUAUUGAAUAAAUAAAAGUAAUAAAUAAGCAAAAUUUUCAUUUUUAUCUAUUUUCAAUUGAAUUUAAAUUGAAAAAAAAAAACUUCAUAAAAGAUUAGGAAAAGUAAAAGUAUAUGAUAUAGAAACCUAUAAUAUAAAUGAAUUCAAAUAAAAACAAACAAAUCGAACCAAACUAUAAAAAGUACUUGUUAUUUUUAAAGUUUAAAGAAACUAUGUAAGGCAAAUAGUACUAAAUAAAAAAAAGGAGCAAUAACGCCCUCUUGUUUUAUCAAGAGGGAAGCUAUUGCUCCUUUUUUAGUUCAAAAACUCCUAUACAAUCAGACCAAAGUC